AUCCAUUUUCUAUUAAUUAUAAAAGUAUUUAAUGAAGAACUAAUUUAUUUUACUCGUCUACAUUAGAAAAUAUCUAUAAAAAAUCAUCACAUCAUAGCAAACACACAUAUAAAGAAAAUUAAUCCUAAUAUUUUAAUUAAUUAAAUAGUCUACUAUAAAAUUUGUGGUGUCACACAUGAAUCCCAACUUGUUGGACAGAUACAAUAUUAAUGUAUGUAUUCAAUUUAGAGGUAUGAAUAGUUUAUAAAAAUUUGUUUAACUCAAAGUGUUAAACGAGUUUUUUUGGAUGUUGAGAACCUAGAUAUAUAACUUUUGUAAAUUAUAGAUAAACUAUACACCAUCAGUUAUAUGUCAAUAAAUAAAAUCAAAUGUUUAAAGCAAGGGACAAAAGACCGUCAUAAUCCUAUAAUGAUGGCUACAAUCUGUAGGUAUUAGGUAAUUAUAAACAGCAGUACGAAAUUCCAUUGAUAUUGAUAAUUUUAGCUAUACAUACGAUUUUUAUACUCUUAUCUAAAGGUAAAGUUUCGUGUACAGUGAAUAUAAUUCAAAUAUCCUAAUUUUAUUUUUUUAAAAUAUCAUGUCAACACACACUUUACUUUUUUGGAAACAUCUUUUCAUAUGUUAGAAAUAUAUAAUAUACAUAUUUAUCUUCAGAGCCACGUCAUCCUAACUUAUUUAUAUCUUUUCAUAAAAAUAACUAACUUACUUAGCAUAAUAUAUUUUGUUGUAUCUAUAUUUUAUGACCCAAAUUUUCUCAUACGUGGCACUAGUUUUACACUAGUUUAUGAUAUAUGUUGUAUUACUUAUCUUAAAUGUCAUAAAUAUAAAAGUCUCAAAUACAAUAUUUUAUAAUUGUAGUCAUUUUUAUUUUACUUAAAUAUAUAUUUAUCAUAAAUAUCAUAAAUGUAUAAGUCUCCAAUAUAAUAUUUUAUAUUUUUAUUUAAUACAUUAAUUUGAAAACCAUCAUGUUUACGUUUAAUGCAAUAUUAAAAUUUCUUUCAAGUUCAAUGUGGGUUGCCAUUUGCUUGUAUUUAAAAUAUUAAAAAUUAAAAUAUAUAUAUUAUAAAAAUAUGGAAAGUCGAGUCAAAUAUAUUACUUUUUAAUAAAUAUAUAAUAAAAAUAUUUUAUAACGCUACCAUAUUUAUAUUCAUAUAAAAAUUAUUGGAUGUUCAAGGUAGAACAUUGCCUAUAUAAAUGUACUUGUAGAUAACAUAUUCAAAUAAAAAAAUGGAAAUUGUAAGAAAUUCUUCUAUGGCUAUGGCAUUUUUGCUGGCAUUUUUUAUCAUUUCAUCAGGUAUAAUCACUUUGAGUAAUUUAUUAUGGAUUAUCUUGUUGAUUUCUCACUUUAACCAACUUAUAAAAAAAAUUAUAUUUUUUAUAUUACAAAAUUCUAAUGUCCAUGUAAUGUUUGUGUAUGUAGAUAUUCAUAUGGAAUCACAUGCUAGAGGAGUAAGUGAGGAGAGAUAUGGAUUUUGUGGCACAAACGACGAUUGUCAACGUAACUAUCAUUGUCCACCUGGUCUUGUUGCCGUAUGUGUUGCAAAUGAGUGUACAUGUGUACACUCUCAACAAACCAAGCAAGUGAGUGAUGACAUAAAUGGAUUCUGUAGCACAGAUGGCGAUUGUCAACAUACUAGACCUUGUCCACCUGGUCUUAUUGCCAUAUGUGUUGGAAACCGUUGUACAUGUAUACACUAAAUUAAGUUCCUAGUCCAACACCAUCACUUACAAACUGAGUUAUACAAUAUUGUGAAACAAUAAUCGUGUUUGGAUGAGAUUAUAAAUAUAUAUAAUCUUAAAUAAAAUUGUUUAUUGCGUUAUAUUUUGUAUUCACAUCGUAUGAAACUGAUUUUUUUAUAAAAUAAAAUUUUGAAUGCAAAGGCAUCACAUUGAUAACAUAGACAAUUCAUCUAUGUUAGCACUCUAAUCACUACAAGAAAAACUCUAAUUUGUGGCCAAUUUUACAAAUAUUUUGUGGCCGAAAAAAACCUCACAAAUUAGUGACCGAAAAAACCGUCACAAAUACAAAAAUUGAAAUUGAUCUUUAUUUGUGGCUGAAAAAGCUCUCACAAAUGUUUAAAAAUUUAGGUGGAUUUUGUGGCUGCCUAAGCCUUCACAAAAUCACAAGCCACAAAAUCUAAAUUUUGUGAGGGUAAAGGCUGCCACAAAUGCCUGAAGGGACAUUACACUUUGUGGCUGCAAAGGCCAACACAAAAGCCUGAGCCUUUGCAUUUUGUGGCUGCAAAGGCCGCCACAAAAGAAUAAAGUUAUGUGGCAUUUUUUGGCCGCCCAGACCGCCACAAAUGAUCAACCAGAUCCUAUAUAUAUUACUCCACUCCUCUCAUCAUUUUUCACUUCUAACUUCUCUCUAAACCCCCCUUCUAAAUUUUCUCUCCACCUUCUCUCUACAAAAAAUAUUCCUCCAACGUUGCUUCAAUUUUGGUAAGUUUAUAUUAUAUUAUAUAUAUUAGUUUUUUAUUUUUAAUUUUAUUUUUGAUUUGAAGUUAUUUAUGUAAUUAAUAUUAUUGAAUUUUUAUUUAGACAGUGGUUGUUAAUUACUUCGAAGAGUUCUAAGCUCUGUACGUGAAAGCUUCAAGUCAGACACUACCCGACAUCAAGUUUUUAUUUUAUACAUUUUAAAUUUAGAUUAGUAAAUAUAUAUGUGAUAUUAUAAAUAUAUUUAUAUUAUUUUUAAAAUAUAGAUUAGUAAUAUGUGUUAUUAUAGAUUUGUUUAUAAAAAAAAAAUAGAAAUUAUGUUGUUAACAUAAUAUAUGAUAAAUAAAAAUUUCAAACACAUGUAAAACUUAUUGAUUUUAAUAUAACUAUUUUUUAAAAAAACAUUAUUAAAAUUGAUGAAAUUAUGUUGUUAACAUAAUAUAUGAUAAAUAAAAGUUUCAAAUACAUGUAAAACUUAUUGAUUUUAAUAUAACUAUUUUUUAAAAAACAUUAUUAAAAUUGAUGAUAUUAUUAUUUUUGGUUAUAAGUCUUGAUACAUAUUAAUAUAAUUUAUUGAUUGUUAGUCUUGAUAUUUUUUGUUAGUCUUGAUUAUUAAAAAAACAUCAUUUAAAAUUUUAUUUCGGUUUAUAUAAUUAUACUAGUCUUGAUACUAAUUUAUUAUAUUGUUUGCAAAUUAAUUAAUGCUCCCCUAAUUGACAUAUAAAGUAAAAUUUAUUGAUUUUAAUAUAACUAUUUUUUUUAAAACUAUAUUACUUUAUUGAUUUUAAUUUAUUUGGGUUGGUAGUAAUUACUUUAAUUAUUAUUAAUAUUAUAAUUUUAUAUAUAAUAUUUAUUUUAAUUUUUAAAUUUUAGUUUAAUUUUAAUUUUAAUUUAUUAUUAAUUUAAAUUAAUCUUUAAUUAUAAAUAUAAUUUAAAUGAUAAUUAAAUUGUAAUAUUAUAUUUUUAAUUUAAAUGUUUAAUUUAUAUUCAGAUUAGUUUAUUAUAUAUUAAAUUUAUUUUAUAUUGAUAUUAUAUUUUAAAUUUAAUUUUAAUUUUAAUUUUAAUUUUAAUAUAAUUGUAAUUUAAAUUUAAAUUUUCAAUUUAUAUUCAUAUUAAUUUAUUAUAUAUAAUAUUAUAAUAAAAUAUUAAUUUCGAAUUUAAAAAAUUAAUUUUUUUAAUAUACUUAAUAUUUUGUAGCGGCCUAAGCCCUAACAAAAUAUUAAUUUUUUAAUCUGGAUGAUACUUUGUGGCGGCCUAAACUCUCACAAAGGGAAGCAUUUGUGGCGGCCUGGGCCCUCACAAAGGCUUAACUUUUUAAAAUCAGUCUGCUUUUGUGGCGGCCUAUGCCCUCACAAAUUGAGGCAUUUGUGGCAGCCUAUGCCCUCACAAAGGCAGGCGUUUGUGACGACUUUUGCCCUCACAAAAGGCAACGUACUUUUCAAACUUUGUGGCCGUUUUGGCCGCCACAAAUGUUUGUGACCACCGUAUUUGUGGCUGUCUAAGGCCGCCACAAAUGUUUGUGACCACCGUAUUUGUGGCUGUCUAAGGCCGCCACAAAUUCUCCCUUUGUGGCUGCUUCUUCCGCUUUGUGAGGUCUUUUGGCCCUCACAAAAUCCGUGUUUUCUUGUUGUGUCAUCAACUAUCAUUUUCACUAAUUAAUAACAUCAAUAUAAUACAAAGAAAUGAACAUGGAGUGACUAGGGCAAACCCUAAAUGCAAGUGUAACACCUCAAGUUUUAUUAAAAAAAAAAACAACUUAAACUGUUUGAAACUUUUAUUCAUGAUCUAGCCAUACAAGCAAAUGCAUAUUUUAACAGCCCUCUUACUACUUUAGAAAAUAUUUCUAAGCUUAAAAUAAUAAAUUAAUUUAUUUUAUUUGUAAUACUCUAUUUUAGUAAUAGCCGACUUUACUUAAAGUAGAAGUAUAUAGGAAAGUGGUAGUAUUAAUAAGGUUCAAGUGUCAGAAGGAGACCAUGUCACUUUUUUCUCUCUCUCAUUCUUUUCACAUACCAAUAUUAAUUGAUCCUUCACUUUUUCAUAUCAUUCAUUCCAGAUACACACUUCUAUAAAACAACUCCAAAAAACUCCAACAUCGUUACUAUUUAUCGUCUCUAUCUCCAUCAAUUUCCUUCUUCUUUCCAAAAUCCUUCAAACACAAAAGUUCUCUGAUGUCUUCUACACAUGCCCAACCUCUUGCAUAUCCCUUUCUUCCUCUCAAGAUGACCAAAGUAACACUAAAAGAAGAAACAUAGCAUAUUUGGGGGAUCUCUAAAUCCAAACCAGGGUAUAAAGGGCAAAAGAGCUGACAAAGCAAGAAAAUCCCAUAACCAACUAAAAUUAAAGGAAUCCCAUCUUGGAAAACAACUAGUUCUUUUCCUAGAAAGGUUUCACAUCUUGCAUGUGGGUUUUCUGUUUCGUUUUUUAUUUUACUUUAUUGAGUCAAUUUGAUUUUGUGUUUAAAAUAAUGGGAUCCUAAGAAAACAGAGAGAGAUGGAAAAACUGUGAGGUUUAGCAUGUAGAAAAUGUUUGAAGUAUGCAUUUAGUUGUUCUAAAUCCAUUCAUUAUGCAUACAUUGUGUGAAUGAUUAUGGUGUGUUCAUGAAGGAAUGAAAGUAAAUUGUUAGUUAGCCUAAAAUUAUGUUUCCUCUAGCUUCCUUCAAUUAUGUUUCCUCUAGCUAACUCUAAUUCUGUUUCCUCUGUCUGCGUCUAAUUCGGUUUCCUUUUAUCAUGUUUCCUCUAUCAGAAGUUCCUCUGAUCAUGCUGCCUCUGAUCCAGGUUCCUCUAGCAAGAGUCUGCCUUUGUUCAUGUUGCCUCUGACUCAUGUCUGCCUCUGGUCAUACUACCUCGGAUCCAAGUUCCUUUGAGCACGCUGGGGAGAAAUAAAAUAGGGGGACUACUUUCACGAUUCAACUAAAAUAUGGGGACAAAAACAUCAAUUAAGCCAAAGUUCAAAGCAAGAUAAUUAUAGUGUAGGUUUAUCGGAAGCAGAUGCAAACAAACCAGAAGAACUUGAAGAAUCAGAGGAUACAAGCAAAUUAGAAGAAUAUGACAAAUCUUCAAAGCUGAAUCUGAUCAAGUCAGAAAUAGUCAAUAUAAGCCAGAAGAAAGAUGUGGAUGGAAGUACCAGUCAUCUCAUCCUGAAACUCUAAUCAUUGGAAGUGCAAGCCAUCAUGCGAGGACCAGAUCAUCACUUAAAAAUACAAGUUUGUUUGGUUUACUCUCAUCAAUUGAGGCUACCUCUAUUGAUGAAGCAUUGACAGAUGAUGGAUGGAUUCUUGCAAUGCAAGGAGAGUUAAAUGAAUUUGAGAAGAAUGAUAUUUGGGAUCUAGUACCUAGACCAGAUAAGAACAUUAUUGGAACCAAGUGGGUUUUCAGAAACAAACUAAAUGAAAAAGGUGUAGUGGUCAGAAACAAGGCAAGACUUGUCGCACAAGGCUAUAGUCAGCAAGAGGACAUUGAUUACACUGACACAUUUUUUCUAGUGGCCAGGUUAGAAGCUAUUCGUAUCCUACUUUCUUUUGCUAUAAAUAAUAACAUUACAUUAUUUCAAAUGGAUGUUAAAAGUGUUUUUCUAAAUGGUUAUAUAAGUGAAGAAGUAUAUGUUACACAACCCCUAGGUUUUGAAAAUUCUGAAUUUCCAAAUCAUGUUUUUAAACUUAUGAAAUCUUUGUAUGGCCUAAAACAAGCACCUAGGGCAUGGUAUGAUAGACUUAGUAAUUUCUUGCUUAUAAAUAACUUUGAAAAAUGACAAGUAGAUAAUACAUUUUUUAGAAAAUCAAUAGAAGAUGACAUUCUUAUUAUUCAUAUUUAUGUUGAUGACAUUAUUUUUGGAUUUACUAAUGGCCCUAUUUGCCAAGAAUUUUCUAAAUUAAUGCAGUGUGAAUUUAAAAUGAGUAUGAUGGGAGACCUUAAGUUCUUCUUAAGGAUACAAAUUCAAUAAAGUCAAAAAGGUAUAUACAUUCAUUAAACUAAAUAUACAAAAGAGCUUCUCAAGAAGUUUAAGAUGAGUGAUUGCAAACCUAUGGCUACACCAAUGCACCCUACUUGUUCACUUGAAAAAGAUAAUUCAGGCCAAAAAUUUGACCAAAAAACCUACAGAGUAAUGAUAGGAUCCCUACUUUACCUUUCUGCUUCCAGACCUGGCAUCAUGUUUAGUGCAUGUGUAUGUGCAAGAUUUCAAGCUGAUCCUAGAGAAUCACAUUUAACUGUUGUUAAGAGAAUCCUUAGAUACCUAAAAGACACUACCAACCUUACCUUGUUCUACCAGAAAUCUCCUAAGUACAACCUUAGUGUAUAUUGUGAAUCUGAUUAUGCUUGAGAUAAACUUGAGAGAAAGAGAACUAGUGGAAACUGCACCUUUUUAGGUGACAACUUAUUAUCAUGGUAUGGUACGAGACAAAACACCAUUGCAAUGUCAACAACAGAGGCUGAAUACAUUUCCGCAGCCGACUGUAGUUGUUAACUACUUUCGAAGAAGCAUCAACUUGAAGACUACAAAAUCCUAGAACCCUACAUUCCCAUCUAUUGCGAUAACACUUCUUGCUUUUUUCUAACCAAAAACCCUAUCUUACAUUAUAGAGCUAAACACAUAGAGAUUAAACACCACUUCAUUAGGGACUUUGUUCAAAAAGGGGUACUAAAUAUUUAGUUUGUAGACACUGAACACCAAUGGGUUGAUAUAUUAACCAAACCACUACCUGAAGAUAGAUUUGACUUCAUCAAGAAAAACCUAAGUCUUACCUUCAUACCUGACUGAUAUUGUGAUAACUUCAAAGUAGUUUAGUUUUACAUUAGUUUUAUAUUUUCUUGUAAUAUGUUAUAUUCAUGUUAUUAAAAAACGAAAAAAAAAACUCACUUUCAAGUCCUUUUAUCUACUGACAAAAGGGGGAGAAAGAUAUUUGAUAGAGUCGUGAGAAAAUGAUACUUAGACUUAAGGGGAGCCCUAAGUUAGGGGGAGUUAAAGAAAUACAAUGAAAAGUUAUUAUCAAAAAUACAAGUUUUGUCAUCAUAAAAAAUGGGGAGUUUGUUGGAACCAAAUUCAUUUUAUACUUAGAGUUUUAUGAUAACAAAAGUAUUUUAUGAGAACAAUAUAUUUGACUUCAAAGAGUAUGAAAGAAGAUUUGGUCAAGAUUUGUAGAAGAUUUGAAGAAGAUUUGAUCAAGAUUUAUCUACAACACAAUAUUAACAGAAUCAAUCUGAACAAAUUACGAACAUAAUCAAUCUAAAAAAUUUACAAUAUCAAUGUAAACAAAAAAAGAACAUAAUCAAUUUGAAGAAUUUACAAACGCAAUCUGAAGAUAAUACAAUUUAGAAUUAAACAAGGACUAAAUUAAAGCCCAUGUUUUACCUAUAAAUGAAUACUCAAUGCUGAAGAAGAAAAUCAUCGAAAAGUAGAAAAGAGUAGUCUUAGAGUUCAAAGAGAGAAAUACUUGUUCAAGUUAGAAAUCAUUUCUUAAAGUGUGAGAGUUAUUAUUAUUAUUAUCUUCUUUUUAGAAGCAACUACUCAAAUUCCAAUCUUUUGUAUCUAACCCGGUAGUGGUUUAGUUCCUUCUUCAAUAUGGGGUUGUCAGGUUGUUAGGAGAACACUUGGCUUGUAGGGUCAAGGUGGUUAGUUCCUCAAAAGUCUGGGGUUGUCAGGUUGUUUGGGAAUACUAGCUUAGAGGGUAUUUGAAUUAGUGGAUUAAAGCUUUCUGAAUGAGGGGGCUGGAUGUAGCCAAGUUAGUGGUGAACGAGGAUAAAUAUACGUGUCAAAUUAUUUAUGUUUUAAUUGCUUACUGCCUAUGGAUCCAAUUGCUUGUACUCCAAGUAAGUCACCAAAACCAACCUAGUUUUUAUUUAUUUAUUUAUUUAUAAAUUAUCAAAAAUUUAUCAACUUUGGGAAACACAGUUCAACCCCUCUUCUCAUAUUUGCACCUUCAGAACUCAUACGCGAUUUCUUUGGCCUCUACCUAUAAUAAGUGUGACAAGAAUUCUUUUUCCUUAACCACUAACAUGAAUGACAAGAAUUAUUCUGCCUCUGCCUGUGAAAAUCACAUCAAGCGUCUGAUCAUGUGACUCUGAACUUGCAUCCUCUAACAAAGUUAAUGCUCGGAAAAUAAAAAGUGAACGCUUUGAAAAAGUCAAUGCUCUAAAGUCAAAGCAAUUUGUGCAUCCUCUGAUACUCUUCCUGAAUCAUCUUCUUUUCUAAAGAUCUUAAGACACUUUUUGAUCAUUGUUCCCUCUAGUUUCCAAUUGUUUCAACAAACACGCUAAAUCAAUACAAGAUCAGUCUUUUUGAGAAAUUCUCUCCGUCAAAUCAUUCGAGAAAGAUAUGAUGCAAAACUUUUUGGAUUAUCUUGAUUUUUUGUAAUCAUUACAACAUCAAAAAAAUACUAAUUGUACUAUAUAAAGGACAUUCCCCCCAAGACGAAUCAAGACACAAGAAAAAAGCGAUAAUCACAUUUUGACAUUAGUUAUCAUCCUAUUAGUUCUAAGAGAAUUUUUUCUGAAGAAAAAAUUGCAAACACUCGUUGUAAGAGCUUAUUCAGAUAAACUCCAAAACCUUUUUGUUGUAAUCUAGCCCAAUAGUGGUUUCCUUUCUCAGCAGUUUGACUAUAUUAAGCUAGAAGGUUGUGAAGAUUGAACACAAUUAGUGCGACUAAUAGGUGUUUAAGUGUAAGUCUUAUUUAGUGAUAAUUCAGUGGAUUAAAUUCUUCAAGUUGAAGGAACUAGACGUAGACAGCAUGUUGAUGGUGAACAAGGAUAAAUUGUUGUCUCUUUGCUCAGUUUUCACACUCGUGCUUUAUCUUCUUUACUUUGAGUAUAAUUACACAAAAAGUUUUUUAAAAACACAAUUAAAACCCCCAUUUCUUGUGUUCUUUUCAUUCUACAAGGGAACCAUUACCUAUUGUCUCGUACUCAAUGAUCUUUCCCUUAUGAUCACCUCCAAAGCCUACGAAUCCUCCGUUCUAGAGGGUUAGGUCUUAGAACAUAGACUUUUCUCCCGUCAUGUUGUGUGAGAAUCCAUUGUCUAGGUACCAUGAUUGUUGUUUUAACUUUAUGGUAAAUGAUAUCUGCAAGAUAGAUUAUUUUAUUCUUAGGUACCCAAAUUUGGUUGGGUCCUGGUUUAUUAGUUCUGAAAGGUCUCUUAUCUUUCUAUGUUUUUUUUACAUAAGACAAGUUCUUGUAUUGUGACAUUUCUUAAGGUAGUGCAUGCAAUUAGUAUCAAAUAUGUUAACCUUAGGAGUUUUCUCUGAUUCUUCAAAACCAAUGCGAUGUUUAUUGUUUUUGCUAACACCAUUGAUCAUAGAAGAUUGCUUUCUUCAGCCUAUGCCAUUCGCAAGAAAUUCUUGAAAAGUUAUUCCGUACUUAACAGAAUUGCAGAUUUUAUCCUCUAAAGUUUUUGGAACAUUUUCUUUCAGAGUUAGAUUUUCCCUAUUUGGGUGUUCAACUUCCUUUUCAAAUGAACUGCAUUUAUUUGUUAAGAUGUCAUGAGCCUUUCUAAGAGAUUUAAGCCUUGAAGAAACUGUAUCAUUUUUGUUGAGAAACUCAUUUUACAUAUCUAUAUGUUCAUUACGAGAUAGGUUAAACAGUACCUCAAUUUCUUUAUCAACAAAUUCAUUGUCAGAGUUUGGGUUAGAGUGAGUGUCAGCAAUUAGAGCCAUAUUUGCAUGCUUUUCAACUUCAUUAGAUGAUUCAUCAGAGUCAUCCCAAGUAGCCAUCAGACCUUUUGUUUUCGCCUUGAAGUCUUUUCUUUAGGAUUUUCCUUUCUCAAGUUUAAGACAUUUUUAUUUGAAAUGACCUGGUCCUUUGCACUCAUAGCAGAUGAGUCAUUUCUACUACAAUCUUUCACUUCCUUCUCUACUACUUUGGGGUUUUCUGAAAUCUCUUUUGUGGAAAUAUAUAUUCCUGUUGUUCCACAUGCGCUGGAUUUUUCUUCAGAUAAAGGACAACUCUUCAUCAUUUGAGUCUUCACUUUGAUUAUCCAAACCACUUUCCUCUAAGUCUUUAGUAGCUUGUAGGGCUUUAGAAUCAUCUUCUUUUCUUGGGAUUUGAAGGCCAAGGAUUUUGACUUCUUUCUGGGCUCAUCUUCAACUAGUUCAAUCUCAUGAGAUGUGAGUGACCUCAUCAACUCUUCCAGAGGUAGUUUAUUUAGAUCCUUAGCCAUUUGAAUAGCGGUUACCUUUGGUCUCCACAUGUUGGGAAGACUUCUAAAUAUCUUCUUGAUGUGGUCACAAGUGGUGUAGCUCUUUUAGAAAACCUCCAGUCCAGAAAUAAAAGUUUUGAAUCUAGAGAACGUUGUCUUAAUGUCUUCAUCUUCUUCCAUCUGGAAGAGUUCAUUCUUCUUAACAUGUAGAUUUUCUUUGGCUUCAUGUACCUACUUAUUUCCUUUGUAGUUGAGAGCCAGAGCACCAAAGAUACUUUUUUUGUUUCUUUGUUACUGCAUUUUUCAAACUCCUUGAAGUUGAUAACAUUCAUCAUGAAGUUCUAGCUUUAUGAUGCAUUUGGUUUUGUUUCUUUUUAUCAACAUUUGGAUCCUUUUAAUUGGUUGUGUGUAUCUUAGUACGAAGACAUAAGGAGCAGAGGAUAUAAUGAGCAUGUCUCGUAGACAUUCAGCCACAAAAGCGAAUUCAAAGGAUAUACUAACAUCAUAGCAUUGUCUUCUAUCAUAGUAUUUACUUUCAUCAGAGCAUACAUUAUUUGCCAAAGUCAGACGAUUAGAUGCUUGAUGCGAUUAUCAGAGGUAGACGAUUAGAUUCUUUUCGUAGUCAUCAUAUGUAGACGAAUCAGAGAGUUACUUGUAUUUGACAGAAGCACCAAAGGCAUGUCUCAAGGCUCAUCUACUUAACAAAUAUACUUAGAAGCAGAGUCUUAGUGUUUCUCCAUCUUAGUCCAAUUACUAGAUGAUGCAAUGUAGGAUCAUACGAAAUUCACUUGAUGUACGAACUACACACUUAAACAGAACAUUAGUGUUUUAAAAUGUUCCCACAAAAAUAACUUUGUUAUCAUAAAAUUAUGUAAAGGUUAUAGUUCUUCAAACCAACAUAGUUCUAACAAUUGGUCUACUAUUUCUCGCAGAACUAAAAGAGAGUUAGGAUUUCCUCUUAACAUAAAGAAAUACCCUCAAAUGCACACAUAAGAAUUUAUACUGCACGUAUUGAAAUAGAAAUAAAUUAUGGAUGUUACUAACCAUAAAAAAUAAAAUAAAAAAUGUUUUUACAUAGCAUAUCAUAAUGAAAUUGGUUUAUACUCACUUAAAUAUAGUAUACGAAAUUUGAUGACCCAGAGUAGGUAGUAGCUAAUGUAGUUUAAUGGCUAAAUAGCAUCACCGAUCUCUUAACUUAAUUUCAGUUAAUGUUUUAGUCUUUUAUCCUUUUUUUUCUUCCCGAUUUGGUCAUUUAUUUUAAUUUUAAGUGACAAUUUGAUCUUUUAUAUUUUAAAAUGUCUCAUGAUGUUCAAUUAUUAGGUUAUCAAACUUUUUAAUUAGUUUAGUUGCUACAAGACAACAUAUUGCUAAAGAGUUAUAAAUACAUUUAUUUUCUGAAUACAAUUGUUCAAUAACAAGUUUAGAAUCUCCCAACACUUUGACAUGUUUUUGUAGAGAGAAAAAAAAAGAGGGGUUUGAAUUGUAUUUUGUUUCAGAAAAAUAUAAAUUAAAAAAAUACAUAUAUAAAUAUGCAUCGGCGUAGGAGAUUAUACAUUAUCAUUCUUAAUUUUAUUUUGAGAACAAGAUCUCAUAUUAGCCCCAUAAGAUUAUACAUAAUUAUUGAAAUCAAGUUGGUUUUUCUCAUGAUUUUGAUGUUAACAAAGGUAUUUUAUGAGAAUAAUUUGUGUCGACAAAUGGCUUCAUAAAGUGUGCAACAAUUAGAACAAAAAAAUUAGAAGAAGGUACCAUAGAAAGCGACCAAAGAAAACUACCAGAGGAUGUACCAGAGGAAGUCACGAGAGGAUGAGUUUAGAGGAACACAAAAACAUACUUGUCUACCUCUGAACAUAUGCUCUUGAAAUUAGCAACGUGUCUCUUACGAAGGCUACACUAGUGUUUGGCGCUAAAGCAGUUAUAAAGGAUCCCCUCAUGUUAGAGAAAGAGGUGAUUAUCUUUUCGCCUUCGGUGAUUAAUCAUGAGUGGUUGUAUUUGCAUUUGACAUUUUUUUAUUUUUCUUUUAGGCCUCUUUCUUUGGUGCUUCCACCUAAGGCUCCAACUUCACAGGAUAUAAUAUUUUCAAGAUUUUAUUUUUUAGUGUGCACAUUCUUGAUUAAUGUUAACUAUUUCUUUUCUGUUGUAGGAACCAUCUACCCAUCAACAAGCACCUACUCAGACUGUCGAUAUUUUUUAAUCCUUAGGCCAUGCCAAAUGUCACCGAACAACUGCCAACUUAUUCCAUAGAACAUGCAAGUGUCAAAACUGUUAUGGAUGUUGAUGCUAGAAUACAAGAAAUGGAUGACAGGAUAUUUCAAUAGAAGAAGUAGAAAAAGUGGAUUAUAUGUUCCUUUCAGAAUCAAUUUAGCAAGGAGUGCUAGUUAACAUGGCUGUCUCAACUAAUCAUAAUUUAGCAAGGAGUGCUAGUUAACAUGGCUGUCUCAAUUUAGUGAUCAUUUCUAUGAAACUUUUUAGAAGAUAUCUGCUCCAAGGCAAGUCAAUUCUCCAACCUCUGUUAGUUCAUCCAGUGCACAUUCUAAUUUCUGUUUCUUUCCAAGCAUGUUUCCUUGCGCACUCCUUUGCAGACCUUGGGGGACGGGUUUUUUUUUUAAGACCCCAUAUAAAGCCUUUGUCUUAAUAUGAUAACCCUCUCAAGUUUUUAAACUACAUAUUAUUGUUCCUCCCAAUUUGGCAAGCAUGCAUGGUGCCAAGUCCAUUGUCAGGUGAGUGGUUCCUCUCAUGUUUGUUCGAUUCUUAUCUCACAUAUCUAGCUUCUCUAGUAGAUGUAUUUUUAUUUGUUGAAUACAUUAAUAAAAAUUUUCUUCUUUACUUGUUUCAAUUUUUAUGAUGUCGCACGUAGUGGAUUUGUAUAAUUUUCUAGUAACUAUAAAAGUCUUUAAUGAAAAAAUAAUUUAUUUUACUCAUCUACAUUAUAAAUUUUCUCCAAAAUACUCAAUUUAAUAUAAUAUUAUUCUUCCUUAACAUAAAUAGAUAAAUAAAUAAACAAAUAUAAUAUUAACCACUAAAUCAAAUAUCUAAAAAAAUCAUUACAUCAUAGCAAACACACAUAUAAAAAAAAAUAAUCAUAAUAUUUUAGUUAAUUAAGUAGUAUACUAUGAAAUUUGGAGUAUUACACGAGCUUCUUAGGAUGUUGAGAGCAUAGAUAAAUAAAGUAAAUUAUCUUUCAGAUUUUCUUAUUCUUAAGUCCUUUGUACCUAACAUAGUUCAUUUAGAAGGAUCAAUUGUAGAAGGUUUUUUGGCCAAUGAAUAUUUGAAGUUUUGCUCGCAAUAUCUAUUUAGGUGGAAACUAGGUUCAAUAAACCUAUCAGAAAUGGCGAUGAAAUCGAUUCUACGUCAAUAGGUAAUUUGAUCUUUUUACAUCCUAUUAGAAGACCUUAUCACUGAAAUAUAUAGCAACAAAAUCAAAAGCAUAGAUAUAAUUUUUGUAAAUAAUGAAUAAACUAUAUACCAACGGUGAUAUAUCAGUAGGUAAAACCAAAUGACAAAAGACUGUCACAAUCUUAUAGUGAUGGCAACAAUCCGUAGAUAUUAGACAAUUAUAUACAAGAGUACAAACCUAGGUUUGUACUGAUAAUUUUGGCUAUACUUACAAUUUUUAUACUCUUACCGAAAGGUAAAGUUUCUUGUACUGUUAAUAUGAUUCAAAUAUCCUAAUUUUAUUUAUUAAAAUAUCAUGUGAACACAUAUUUUACUUUUUUGCAAACAUCUUUUAACAUGUUAGAAAUAUAUAAUAUACAUAUUUAUCUUUAGAGCCAGAUCAUGCUAACUAUUUGUAUCAUCUUAUCAUAUAAAAAAUUUAACAAUUACUAUUAAAAAAACUAACAAUUUAUAAUAAAAAUAAACUAACAAAAAAUUUUUGUUGAAAACAAAAAAUCAAAUAUUUAGUUCAGUUACUAAAAUUUAUAAAAAAAAAAAAAAAAAACUAACUAAUUUAGCAUAAUAUAUUUUGUUUUAUCUAUAUUUUCAUACCCAACUUUUCUCAUACAUGGCACUAAUUAUAUACUAUUUUAUGAUAUAUUUUGUAAUACUUAUCAUAAAAAUAAAAGUCUUAAAUCUAAUAUUUUAUAAUUGUAGUCAUUUUAACUUUACUGAAAUAUAUAUUUAUCAUAAAUGUCAUAAAUUAAUUUUAUGAAUGUUUAUAAAUUAAUUUUAUAAAUGUCAUAUAUUUAUCAUAAAUGUCAUAAAUGUUAUAAAUGUCAUAAAUGUCUGAAAUAUAAAAGUCUUCAAUAUAAUAUUUAUAUUUAUAUUUAAUACAUUAAUUUGAAAACCAUCAUGUUUACUUUACCUUUCAAGCAAUAUUAAAAAAACUGUUUCAAGUUCAAUGUGGGUUACCAUUUGCUUAUAUUUAAAAUAUAUAUAUCUAUAGAUUAUAAAAAUAUUUAAAGUGCUUUAAAACAUUUUACUUUUUAAUAGUUAUAUAAUAAAAAUAUUUUAUAAGACUACCAUAUUUAUAUUCAUGGAUCCAUAAAAGCUAUUGAAUGUUCAUGGUGGAACAUCGCCUAUAUAAAUGUACUUGUAGACAACAUAUUCAAAUAAAAAAAUGGAAAUUGUAAGAAAUUCUUCUAUGGCUGUGGCAUUUUUGUUGGCAUUUUUUAUCAUUUCAUCAGGUAUAAUAACAUUGAGCAAUUUAUUAUGGAUAUAUUAUCUUGUUGAUUUUUCACUUUAUUAACCAAUUUAUAAAAAACAAAAUCAUAUUUUUACAUAACAAAAUUCUAAUGUCCAUGUAAUGUUUGUGUAUGUAGAUAUUCAUAUGGAAUCACAUGCUAGAGGAGUAAGUGAGGAGAGAUAUGGAUUUUGUGGCACAAACGACGAUUGUCAACGUAACUAUCAUUGUCCACCUGGUCUUGUUGCCGUAUGUGUUGCAAAUGAGUGUACAUGUGUACACUCUCAACAAACCAAGCAAGUGAGUGAUGACAUAAAUGGAUUAUGUAGAACAGAUGGCGAUUGUCAACGUAUAAGACCUUGUCCACCUGGUCUUAUUGCCGUAUGUGCUGCAAACCAUUGUACAUGUGUACACUAAAUUAAGUUCCUAUCCAACACCAUCAGUUAUAAACUGAGUAAUACAAAAUUGUGAAAUAAUAAUCGUAUUUGGA
This 15668-nucleotide long non-coding RNA is filed under the name Cicer arietinum (chickpea). Its description in RNAcentral is "long non-coding RNA (CARI_LNC003088)". The record is from RNAcentral. Lineage: Eukaryota; Viridiplantae; Streptophyta; Magnoliopsida; Fabales; Fabaceae.